GCCGCCGUAGCUCAGCCUGGUUAGAGCGCCGGACUCAUACGGGACGCCCCGGUCCACCGGAGUCGGCCGCGGGGGUCCCUGGGGGAUCCGGCGGUCCCGGGUUCGAAUCCCGGCGGCGGCA
This 121-nucleotide transfer RNA is filed under the name Pyrodictium occultum. It matches the Rfam family "tRNA". Rfam says of the family: Transfer RNA (tRNA) molecules are approximately 80 nucleotides in length. Their secondary structure includes four short double-helical elements and three loops (D, anti-codon, and T loops). The record is from Rfam by way of RNAcentral. Lineage: Archaea; Thermoproteati; Thermoproteota; Thermoprotei; Desulfurococcales; Pyrodictiaceae.